Long non-coding RNA from Magnolia sinica, 349 nucleotides. RefSeq lists it as uncharacterized. The transcript has 3 exons. The record is from RefSeq and is a predicted model, not a curated record. NCBI's taxonomy places the organism in Eukaryota, Viridiplantae, Streptophyta, Magnoliopsida, Magnoliales, Magnoliaceae.
ACUUGGUGAACAACCCAAAAAUGAGCCCUUCAAUGAUGAUAUUGCACAGUUUGAGGUCCCUAUUGUUGUGAUCCAUCCUGUUCCAAGUCCAGUAAGAAAUGAAGGGAUAUGAAGAUAUCAAAUGAAGAGGAACGCUAGAGUUGCAAACAUUUAUCCCAACGUCCAAUUAAGAGUCCUCUAGUGGUGGUUCGCCCUCGAAUAACUAUAAAAGACGCACAGGAGAAGUUAUCAGUAUAGCUGUCGGAUGUGCAAGUGGACUACUGAUACUCGCAUCCAUUUUCUAUCUAUGGUGGAUGAAAGAUGCACCUAGCCAUAUGCGAGUGUACACAGACUCACCAGAUUUGUAUUU